This 253-nucleotide ribosomal RNA is filed under the name uncultured bacterium. RNAcentral's name for it is "partial 16S ribosomal RNA". It matches the Rfam family "Bacterial small subunit ribosomal RNA", at positions 524 to 776 of the family's 1533-position model. The record is from RNAcentral.
UACGAAGGGUGCAAGCGUUACUCGGAAUUACUGGGCGUAAAGGGUGCGUAGGCGGUUCGUUAAGUCUGUUGUGAAAUCCCCGGGCUCAACCUGGGAAUGGCAAUGGAUACUGGCGGGCUAGAGUGUGUCAGAGGAUGGUGGAAUUCCCGGUGUAGCGGUGAAAUGCGUAGAGAUCGGGAGGAACAUCAGUGGCGAAGGCGGCCAUCUGGGACAACACUGACGCUGAAGCACGAAAGCGUGGGGAGCAAACAGG